This 1758-nucleotide long non-coding RNA is filed under the name Nicotiana tabacum (common tobacco). Lineage: Eukaryota; Viridiplantae; Streptophyta; Magnoliopsida; Solanales; Solanaceae. The record is from RNAcentral.
AAGGUGGGGAGUUCUUGGAGGGAGGGAGCCGAGAGUCUAUGGGAAACAUCCUCUCUAUCCCAGGGUAGGGGUAAGGUCUGCGUACACACUACCCUCCCCAAACCCCAUUAGUGAGAUUAUACUGGGUUGUUGUUAUUGUUGUUGUUGUUAGCUGGAGAAGGCGCGGGUACCAAAUUUAUCUUGCUAAAGAAACAAAUAAAUAAAUAAUAUUCUUAAAAAAAAUAGAAACAAAUAAAUAAAAUAACUAAACACUAAACGCUAAGACCUAAAAAUCCCUUUUCUACAGAUCCUAAACCCUAGAAACUUUGAAACACUCUAAAGUCCUGCCGCAACUCUUCGAGUUUGAGUUUUCCCUUCGGUAAGUUCCUCAAUUUCUAUCACCAUUUUUUUUUUCAUAUUUCAAUCUUUUCCGAUUGUUGUAGUCUAUGCUUAGUUGUUGUGAGAAUUAGGACGCCUUUUCUCUUUGAUAACUCACUCAACCUGCAUUUCAACUAAGUUUCCAGUUUAUUCCGUUUAUUUUACAGAUAGGUUGGUCGAAAAAGUUUCAAUUUUAUUCAGUUCUUCUUCGGUUCGAUUAUUUAUUUUGGUUUUGGGAUUGUUUUGUAUUUUUGUUUCUUUUCCUAAAUCGAGGCUUUAAUUCAUUUGCCUGAUUUCUCUAUCUAUGAUUUGAGAAGAGUUGCACUACACAGGUUAUAAACAUCAUGAUUAGGGGACAUUACUUGUAUCGUUAUGAGCAAAACGUUAGAAUUUGUUAAUUGUAUCGUUACUCAAGUGCAUGCAUCCAUGUAAAAGCUUCUAUAGAACAAUUUUGAUACCCAUUAGACAUAUAUAGAACACUAUAUCUUAUUACUUUUGUUUUUCUUUUCUUUAUUAGUUCUUAUGUGAAAAUUCGGUCAGAUAUUAAGAAUGAUCUCAAUAAAGAAGAGAGAUCUUACAUUAAGAGGAGAGUCAUAUUUGUUUAGUAGCCAAGGAUGACUUGCCUGCUCCAUUAUUUUAAAAGGUGUUUUGAUUAUACCAUUUAAUAUUGGUAGCCUUUUUUGCUUGGUUUUAGGCCGUCUCCUUGGCUAUCUUGACAUGCUCUUCUCUUUUAUGCUAGACUUUUCAUUCUUCUAUCACUACUAAAAUGUGAAAUUCCGAACGGGCAUCCCCUCGGAAAUUGGCUCGUCGGAAAGGAAUUUCUGACGGGAAGGCCCUUCAAAAAUAUUUCCGACGAUAUCCGAUUUGCUUUUUUUUUUGGUAGUGUUCAAGUUAAUUUACGAAGAAAGAAGAAGGAGAUAGAACAGAGGUAUAGCAUAGUGAAAGGAGUCUUAUUUGGUAGUCAAGGAUGACUUGUCGUGCACCAUUUUGGAAAGCUCAUUUAAUAUAUUUUAUAUAUUGAUGAUACAAUCCUUUCUUUCUUGGUUUCAGGUCACUAUGGCUAACUUGAUAAUCUCUUCUCUUUCAUGCAAUGCCUUCUCUUCUUCCAUUGCCUAUGGAACAUCUUCUAUUUUUCAUGCAAUGCCUUCUAUUAGUUGAUAGCCAAGGACGACUUCUAUUUUUCUUUUGGGCUAAAAGGAUAAUAUAUUACUUAGGCAUAAUUACAAAAGGUACGUAGUGCUAUUACUAGUGCUAUGAUCAUCUAAAAUAUAUAUUUUAGAAGGAUGACUUUUAAAUGCUAAUAAUUAUGGGUUCUAUGGGUUUUAGAUUUAGUUAUGCAUUGUUAUGCAAUGAUUAGUAAUGAGGAGAUUUUUAUGCAUGAGUUACUUAAUUUACAAAGGG